Molecule: ribosomal RNA, 1410 nt
Filed under: Salmonella enterica subsp. enterica serovar Oranienburg
Lineage: Bacteria; Pseudomonadati; Pseudomonadota; Gammaproteobacteria; Enterobacterales; Enterobacteriaceae
Also listed under: 12 other names
Description: bacterial SSU rRNA
Rfam family: Bacterial small subunit ribosomal RNA
Source: RNAcentral
GAGUAAUGUCUGGGAAACUGCCUGAUGGAGGGGGAUAACUACUGGAAACGGUGGCUAAUACCGCAUAACGUCGCAAGACCAAAGAGGGGGACCUUCGGGCCUCUUGCCAUCAGAUGUGCCCAGAUGGGAUUAGCUUGUUGGUGAGGUAACGGCUCACCAAGGCGACGAUCCCUAGCUGGUCUGAGAGGAUGACCAGCCACACUGGAACUGAGACACGGUCCAGACUCCUACGGGAGGCAGCAGUGGGGAAUAUUGCACAAUGGGCGCAAGCCUGAUGCAGCCAUGCCGCGUGUAUGAAGAAGGCCUUCGGGUUGUAAAGUACUUUCAGCGGGGAGGAAGGUGUUGUGGUUAAUAACCGCAGCAAUUGACGUUACCCGCAGAAGAAGCACCGGCUAACUCCGUGCCAGCAGCCGCGGUAAUACGGAGGGUGCAAGCGUUAAUCGGAAUUACUGGGCGUAAAGCGCACGCAGGCGGUCUGUCAAGUCGGAUGUGAAAUCCCCGGGCUCAACCUGGGAACUGCAUUCGAAACUGGCAGGCUUGAGUCUUGUAGAGGGGGGUAGAAUUCCAGGUGUAGCGGUGAAAUGCGUAGAGAUCUGGAGGAAUACCGGUGGCGAAGGCGGCCCCCUGGACAAAGACUGACGCUCAGGUGCGAAAGCGUGGGGAGCAAACAGGAUUAGAUACCCUGGUAGUCCACGCCGUAAACGAUGUCUACUUGGAGGUUGUGCCCUUGAGGCGUGGCUUCCGGAGCUAACGCGUUAAGUAGACCGCCUGGGGAGUACGGCCGCAAGGUUAAAACUCAAAUGAAUUGACGGGGGCCCGCACAAGCGGUGGAGCAUGUGGUUUAAUUCGAUGCAACGCGAAGAACCUUACCUGGUCUUGACAUCCACAGAACUUUCCAGAGAUGGAUUGGUGCCUUCGGGAACUGUGAGACAGGUGCUGCAUGGCUGUCGUCAGCUCGUGUUGUGAAAUGUUGGGUUAAGUCCCGCAACGAGCGCAACCCUUAUCCUUUGUUGCCAGCGGUCCGGCCGGGAACUCAAAGGAGACUGCCAGUGAUAAACUGGAGGAAGGUGGGGAUGACGUCAAGUCAUCAUGGCCCUUACGACCAGGGCUACACACGUGCUACAAUGGCGCAUACAAAGAGAAGCGACCUCGCGAGAGCAAGCGGACCUCAUAAAGUGCGUCGUAGUCCGGAUUGGAGUCUGCAACUCGACUCCAUGAAGUCGGAAUCGCUAGUAAUCGUGGAUCAGAAUGCCACGGUGAAUACGUUCCCGGGCCUUGUACACACCGCCCGUCACACCAUGGGAGUGGGUUGCAAAAGAAGUAGGUAGCUUAACCUUCGGGAGGGCGCUUACCACUUUGUGAUUCAUGACUGGGGUGAAGUCGUAACAAGGUAACCGUAGGGGAACCUGC